Hydractinia symbiolongicarpus is the source of this 802-nucleotide long non-coding RNA. RefSeq lists it as uncharacterized. The record is from RefSeq and is a predicted model, not a curated record. NCBI's taxonomy places the organism in Eukaryota, Metazoa, Cnidaria, Hydrozoa, Anthoathecata, Hydractiniidae. The transcript has 2 exons.
UUCACCAAAAGAUUAUGUGAAUAAUUUAUGCAGCGUUGUAUUCUGCGAAUUAUCCGGAUUAAUAAUGGCGAUGGUUUUUCUUCUUAUACUACUUCUAUUCUCCAUGUGCUUUUUGUUUGUUUUUCCUGUGAAUGUUGUCCUCUGAUGUUUUUGAACUAAGAUGUUUUCAUUCCCUGUAGCUACUGUAUAAGCCACCACCUCCCCCACACACCCCUUUUCCAUCUUGAUCACCUAAAGAUAAAGUGCCGUUAAGCCAAUGAGAAAUAUGCUUGGAUGCUAGCUAAACUGAAAUCAAAAGAUGGUGUUUAAAAAUUGUCUUCACUUCAAGUGAUCGUCCCCAAAAGGAUUUUUAUUCCUGGAGACAUUGGUUUAUUGGGUGAUUACUCUGCGGACUGCGCUCUCAAUCAAACCUAGAGGAAUUUUUCGUGGAGGAGUUCCCUUAAAAUACAUUAAAACCGUCGCUGGACAAGUUAUACCCUGACGGGCAUCGAUUUCAACAAGAUAAUGACCCGAAGCACACAUCCAUUCUUGCAAGAGAAUUUAUGCAAAACAACAACAUAAAUCACUGGCCAACACCCGCUGAAAGUCCAGACCUUAACCCAAUAGAGAUGCUGUGGUCUGAAUUAAAACAGUAUCUACGUUGGCGUGUUAAACCGUCGACGAAAGAAGAAUUGGUCAAUGGCAUUAAAUUUUUUUUGAGAAAUGUUACUGUAGCAAAAUGUAAUAAAUACAUUGAUCAUUUAUAUAAGGUUAUUCCAAUAGUUAUUGAAAGAGAAGGUCGAGCAUCUGGACAUUAAAACAA